CCCCUCGGGGCUCCUUGGUGAUUCAUAAUAACUUAACGAAUCGCAUGGCCUUGCGCCGGCGAUGGUUCAUUCAAAUUUCUGCCCUAUCAACUUUCGAUGGUAGGAUAGUGGCCUACCAUGGUGGCAACGGGUAACGGGGAAUUAGGGUUCGAUUCCGGAGAGGGAGCCUGAGAAACGGCUACCACAUCCAAGGAAGGCAGCAGGCGCGCAAAUUACCCAAUCCCGACACGGGGAGGUAGUGACAAUAAAUACUGAUACGGGGCUCUUUUGGGUCUCGUAAUUGGAAUGAGAACAAUUUAAAUCCCUUAACGAGGAACAAUUGGAGGGCAAGUCUGGUGCCAGCAGCCGCGGUAAUUCCAGCUCCAAUAGCGUAUAUUAAAGUUGUUGCAGUUAAAAAGCUCGUAGUUGAACCUUGGGUCUGGCUGGCCGGUCCGCCUCACCGCGAGUACUGGUCCGGCUGGACCUUUCCUUCUGGGGAACCCCAUGGCCUUCACUGGCUGUGGGGGGAACCAGGACUUUUACUGUGAAAAAAUUAGAGUGUUCAAAGCAGGCCUUUGCUCGGAUACAUUAGCAUGGAAUAAUAGAAUAGGACGUGCGGUUCUAUUUUGUUGGUUUCUAGGACCGCCGUAAUGAUUAAUAGGGAUAGUCGGGGGCGUCAGUAUUCAGCUGUCAGAGGUGAAAUUCUUGGAUUUGCUGAAGACUAACUACUG
This 710-nucleotide ribosomal RNA is filed under the name Aspergillus sp. P4-2-2. RNAcentral's name for it is "SSU rRNA". It matches the Rfam family "Eukaryotic small subunit ribosomal RNA", at positions 229 to 945 of the family's 1831-position model. Lineage: Eukaryota; Fungi; Ascomycota; Eurotiomycetes; Eurotiales; Aspergillaceae. The record is from RNAcentral.